CUGGAGAGAAGGGGGCUGCCUCUCCUAUUGCUGCUGCUUCGUUCUUUCAUCGUAAGCGGUCUCCGUUUCCAGUUCCAUUGAAUUCAUUUCUGUUUUCGAUUCCAUUGAGUUUGAAUUCUCUAUUUUGCUGUAACCAUAGUCACUGUUGCUGGAAUUACGAACGCCGCCCUCGGUGCUGAUUGGAUUAACCACCAUAGCUAUUCUGCAUCACCUUCACUUUUCAUUAUUUUUGUCAGGUCCCGUUCUUGCCGGUGUUGGCCAUUGGAUUUGCAACAGCUCCAACUUUUAUUUCCCUCUUGAUUCGAUGAAGUAAUUAUGGUUGCUGCAAAAGUGGUUUGGAACUGCGGUUGUGGUUGCCGCUGUGAUGAGCCGGGGGGAAAAAGGGAUUCAAUGCAUUUAAUUAUGCAGAUUGCGAAUAAUUGAGGAACUGGAUGAAGAAGUAUUAUGGAGAGUUAUAAUGCAUUUGGUUUAUAUACGUUGUUGUAUUAAUUAGAUUAUUUUCUUCC
This is a non-coding RNA of Arachis ipaensis, 506 nucleotides long. NCBI's taxonomy places the organism in Eukaryota, Viridiplantae, Streptophyta, Magnoliopsida, Fabales, Fabaceae. The record is from RefSeq and is a predicted model, not a curated record.